UACGGAGGAUGCGAGCGUUAUCCGGAUUUAUUGGGUUUAAAGGGUGUGCAGGCGGCUGAGUAAGACAGAUGUGAAAUCCCCGGGCUUAACCUGGGAACCGCAUAUGUGACUGCUUGGCUAGAGUGCGUCAGAGGGAGGUGGAAUUCCACGUGUAGCAGUGAAAUGCGUAGAUAUGUGGAAGAACACCGAUGGCGAAGGCAGCCUCCUGGGACGCAACUGACGCUCAUACACGAAAGCGUGGGGAGCAAACAGG
Molecule: ribosomal RNA, 253 nt
Filed under: uncultured Sutterella sp.
Lineage: Bacteria; Pseudomonadati; Pseudomonadota; Betaproteobacteria; Burkholderiales; Sutterellaceae
Description: partial 16S ribosomal RNA
Rfam family: Bacterial small subunit ribosomal RNA
Source: RNAcentral